RNAcentral lists this long non-coding RNA (210 nucleotides) under Lathyrus oleraceus (garden pea). RNAcentral's name for it is "Pisum sativum (pea) long non-coding RNA (PSAT_LNC030900)". Lineage: Eukaryota; Viridiplantae; Streptophyta; Magnoliopsida; Fabales; Fabaceae. The record is from RNAcentral.
CAGGAGCGUCUUCUGGUGCUGCAGAUGAUGAUGAUGAUGAUGAUGAGGCUACCGGUUCUGAAGCCGGUAGUGAGGAAGGUUCUGAGCCCUUGGAGGGUUAAGUUAUUGUAUUUUUCAUUUUUUAUGUUUAUUUCUAUUGUAUUUUCGGAUUGCUGUAUUUUGAUUUUGGCUUUGUACUUUUGGGGUGUUUUGUCCCCCAUGAACAAUUUU